UCUGGCUCUCGGGCCCGAGUUGUAAUUUGUAGAGGAUGCUUUUGGUGCGGCGCCUUCUGAGUUCCCUGGAACGGGACGCCAGAGAGGGUGAGAGCCCCGUAGAGUUGGACGCCUAACCUCUGUAAAGCUCCUUCGACGAGUCGAGUAGUUUGGGAAUGCUGCUCAAAAUGGGAGGUAAAUUUCUUCUAAAGCUAAAUACCGGCUGGAGACCGAUAGCGCACAAGUAGAGUGAUCGAAAGAUGAAAAGCACUUUGAAAAGAGGGUUAAACAGCACGUGAAAUUGUUGAAAGGGAAGCGCUUGUGACCAGACUUGUGCCUUGCCAAUCAUCCGGCGUUCUCGCCGGUGCACUUGGCUUGGCCCAGGCCAGCAUCAGUUUUCUCAGGGGGAGAAAAGCGCCGGGAACGUAGCUCCCUCGGGAGUGUUAUAGCCCGGCGCACAAUACCUCUAGGAGGACUGAGGACCGCGCAUUGCAAGGAUGCUGGCGUAAUGGUCAUCAGCGACCCGUCUU
This 509-nucleotide ribosomal RNA is filed under the name Acrodictys bambusicola. RNAcentral's name for it is "eukaryotic LSU rRNA". It matches the Rfam family "Eukaryotic large subunit ribosomal RNA", at positions 121 to 655 of the family's 3401-position model. Lineage: Eukaryota; Fungi; Ascomycota; Sordariomycetes. The record is from RNAcentral.